This 542-nucleotide long non-coding RNA is filed under the name Mus musculus (house mouse). RNAcentral describes it as "predicted gene, 57941". The record is from RNAcentral. Lineage: Eukaryota; Metazoa; Chordata; Mammalia; Rodentia; Muridae.
UCAGCUCCUGGAUGACUACAAGAAAGGGAACCUCCACAUCAUUCCAGACACUCCUCUGGCUGAGGAGAGAUCAGGAGAUGACAGUGAUGUGUUGAUAGACAGAGACAUCAUGGCCUCCAUGCAGAGGAAUGUGUGGAUGGACAUAUAUUUAAGGAAGACACUAAACCAGAAAAUACCACAUUACACCCUCUUAAAAGACUUCUAAGAUUGUUGUCAUGCCUACCACAGACAUUCAGAUGAUGUGUAUUCUUGAUUGUGAUUUCAUGUUUGGAGCUGAUGAAGGAGAAAGUACCUGGAAUGUCCUAGAAUUCUCAAGACCCAGGAGAAGAACAUAUGCCUGAGAAGAAGAACUAGUGUGGAACUGUCAGCCAGGUUUUUGAUGAGUGCUCAGACUGCUUCCUGAUCCAGCACCACAUUUACUAUAGUGGACAGAUGCUCUAGUCUCUGAUGAGGAGUUGCUAGCUGUUAGGAAGAACCUGGAAUGGGCUCCACUGCAUGAGGUUUGAAGUCUCCAGAGCAGCAAAGAGAGUGGGGAGUAGAAC